UGAUGCCAUUUCACAGAGAAUGUCAACC
This 28-nucleotide non-coding RNA is filed under the name Homo sapiens (human). The record is from RNAcentral. Lineage: Eukaryota; Metazoa; Chordata; Mammalia; Primates; Hominidae.